RNAcentral lists this ribosomal RNA (371 nucleotides) under uncultured bacterium. Its description in RNAcentral is "bacterial SSU rRNA". It matches the Rfam family "Bacterial small subunit ribosomal RNA", at positions 28 to 394 of the family's 1533-position model. The record is from RNAcentral.
GAUGAACGCUAGCGGCAGGCUUAAUACAUGCAAGUCGUGGGGCAGCAUGAGUAGCAAUACUUGAUGGCGACCGGCAAACGGGUGCGGAACACGUACACAACCUUCCUUCAAGCGGGGAAUAGCCCAGAGAAAUUUGGAUUAAUACCCCAUAAAAUAUAAAAAUGGCAUCAUUUAUAUAUUAAAAGCUUCGGCACUUGAUGAUGGGUGUGCGGCUGAUUAGAUAGUUGGCGAGGUAACGGCUCACCAAGUCUACGAUCAGUAGCUGAUGUGAGAGCAUGAUCAGCCACACGGGCACUGAGACACGGGCCCGACUCCUAACGGGAGGCAGCAGUAAGGAAUAUUGGACAAUGGACGAAAGUCUGAUCCAGCCA